AGAUGAGGAAACUGAGGCCCAGAGGUUACUCACUUUCCAGUUAAGGGUCUCAGGGCACUUUUAUCACAUGUGUCCUGAUCCAUGAAUUCAGAAACAGAGGGGCGGAGUGACCAGUUUCUCAUCCUUGAUAGAGCUGAGAAUAGAACCCCAGACUACCUGAUUCCCAGCCUACCUGGAGCUCCACCUCUUGCCACUUCAUGGGGAAAACCCACAAUAAACCAGUGAGAGGAGUUCAAGCCAAGCUCUCUGGAUUGCAUCCUGCGAAGUCUAAACCGGGUAGCGCCAAAGAGCCAGGUGUGUGAGCCAUAAGCACCCAUUUCUGGAGGCUGGCAGUGGGGGUGGGGAGUGGGGUGUGGAGUCUAUGGGCAAGGGAGCCCUCCCUUCCCUCCCCCAAAAAAGAAAGGGAGAGGGGUUUAAAAUAAAUCAAUUAAUUAAAUGCACGGGCUUUUUAUAAAUAGCUCCAGCUCCGGCAUAUUUGUAAAUUCAGUGGGGUUUUUUGUGUCAAUGACAUCACCAUUCUCCCCAUGGCAACUCCCGACGAUAUCGAAAUUGCCAAGCAACGUUGGAGAAGAUUCGGUGCCCCCCAAACGAGCCCGAUGAUUUAAUUGAGAGAGCCAAGGGUGCCUGGGUGUUCUGGGGAAGCAUGGGGAGAGCCGCGAUGGGGACUCUGGCAGGCGGCAGUUUUCGUCGGCUGGAGAUCCUUGGAUGUCUGAGACGAGGGCUUUGUGGAGCCUUGGCUCUUCAGCCGCUGUCCCUUUUUUAAGUCAAAAGCGGGAAGGAGAAGGAGGGAGGCUGGGGGGAGGUGGGGGGCAGGGCGUUCUCUUUCUCAUCCCUAACAUGCAAUCCAGGUGACUAAGCAAGGGAACGGGGACUGACUCACGCCUAGGUUAUGUGCCUCCGUUUUUUAUUCUUAAUUCGAUUUGAUUUUUUCGCUUGGGAAACUUGGAGCGAUUAUCUCAGCUCUCCCCUUCUUCCCGCCCUCCUUCCCCCUUGGGUACUAAGAGGAUGCGAUAACCAGUGGGGCUCUUCUGGGCCAGUGGUUCCUGACGUGCUGUGUGGCCCUGAGGUGUCUCUGGUCAGAGGAGAACAAGCAGGGAGGGCUGUUUCCUGGGUUGUAGACAUGCAGCAGCCUGCAGACAGAGAGCUGUAAGAGCCCCAGCUGCUGAGAAAGGAAGGAGCCAAGAGAACCCGACCGGACAGUGUCCCAGGUAAGCUUUCCUCCAGGAACCUGGCAUGGCAGAAGUCACAGUGGUCCAGCCUCCUCCACAUCUAG
RNAcentral lists this long non-coding RNA (1273 nucleotides) under Phascolarctos cinereus (koala). Its description in RNAcentral is "lncRNA (ENSPCIG00000034729.1)". The record is from RNAcentral. Lineage: Eukaryota; Metazoa; Chordata; Mammalia; Diprotodontia; Phascolarctidae.